This 364-nucleotide ribosomal RNA is filed under the name uncultured bacterium. Its description in RNAcentral is "partial 16S ribosomal RNA". It matches the Rfam family "Bacterial small subunit ribosomal RNA", at positions 338 to 699 of the family's 1533-position model. The record is from RNAcentral.
CCUACGGGGGGCAGCAGUGAGGAAUAUUGGUCAAUGGCCGGAAGGCUGAACCAGCCAUGCCGCGUGAAGGUCAGUGCCCUAUGGGCGUUAAACUUCUUUUGUGCGGGAGCAAUAAUGGUCACGUGUGGCCAGACGAGAGUACCGUACGAAUAAGCAUCGGCUAACUCCGUGCCAGCAGCCGCGGUAAUACGGGGGAUGCAAGCGUUAACCGGAUUUAUUGGGUUUAAAGGGUGCGUAGGCUGGGAGGUAAGUCAGCGGUGAAAUGCCCCGGCUCGAGGGGGUGAAGUGCCAUUGAUACUGCCUAGCUGGAGUGCGGAAGAGGUGGGAGGAAUGUGUGGUGUAGCGGUGAAAUGCAUAGAUAUCA